Molecule: ribosomal RNA, 394 nt
Filed under: uncultured bacterium
Lineage: Bacteria
Description: partial 16S ribosomal RNA
Rfam family: Bacterial small subunit ribosomal RNA
Source: RNAcentral
CCUACGGGUGGCAGCAGUGAGGAGUAUUGGUCAAUGGUCGGAAGUCUGAACCAGCCAAGCCGCGUGAGGGAAGAAGGUACUAUGAGUCGUAAACCGCUUUUGUCAGAGGGCAAAGGCAGAUACGCGUCCCCGUCUGAAAGUAUCGUAAGAAUAAGCAUCGGCUAACUCCGUGCCAGCAGCCGCGGUAAUACGGAGGAUUCAAGCGUUAUCCGGAUUUAUUGGGUUUAAAGGGUGCGUAGGCGGCCGGUUAAGUUUGAGGUGAAAUCCCGAGGCUCAACUACGGAAUUGCCGCGGGUACUGGUCGGCUAGAGAGUGGGGACGGUAGGCGGAAUGUAUGGUGUAGCGGUGAAAUGCUUAGAGAUCAUGCAGAACACCGAUUGCGAAGGCAGCAUAC